RNAcentral lists this ribosomal RNA (425 nucleotides) under uncultured bacterium. RNAcentral describes it as "partial 16S ribosomal RNA". It matches the Rfam family "Bacterial small subunit ribosomal RNA", at positions 354 to 796 of the family's 1533-position model. The record is from RNAcentral.
GUGGGGAAUAUUGCACAAUGGGGGAAACCCUGAUGCAGCGACGCCGCGUGAGUGAAGAAGUAUUUCGGUACGUAAAGCUCUAUCAGCAAGGAAGAAAAUGACGGUACUUGACUAAGAAGCCCCGGCUAACUACGUGCCAGCAGCCGCGGUAAUACGUAGGGGGCAAGCGUUAUCCGGAUUUACUGGGUGUAAAGGGAGCGUAGACGGUAUGGUAAGUCAGAUGUGAAAGCCCGGGGCUCAACCCCGGGACUGCAUUUGAAACUAUCAGACUAGAGUGCAGGAGAGGUAAGGGGAAUUCCUAGUGUAGCGGUGAAAUGCGUAGAUAUUAGGAGGAACACCAGUGGCGAAGGCGGCUUGCUGGACGACAACUGACGCUGAGGCGCGAAAGCGUGGGGAGCAAACAGGAUUAGAAACCCUAGUAGUCC